CAAAGAGGGGGACCUUCGGGCCUCUUCCAUCGGAUGUGCCCAGAUGGGAUUAGCUAGUAGGUGGGGUAACGGCUCACCUAGGGCGACGAUCCCUAGCUGGUCUGAGAGGAUGACCAGCCACACUGGAACUGAGACACGGUCCAGACUCGUACGGGAGCCAGCAGUGGGGCAUAUGGCACAAUGGGAGCAAACCUGAAGCACCCAUCCUACUUGUAUCAUGCAGACCUUCGGGUAGUAAAGUACUUUCACCGGGGAGGAAUGUGAUACGGGUAAUACAUUCAGCUAUUCACGUUGCCCGCAGAAAAAGCGGCGUAAGUCUCCGUACCAGCACCCGCGGUAAUACGGAGGGUGCAAGCGUUAAUCGGAAUUUCUGGGGGUAAAGCCCGCGCUGACGGUCAGUCAAGUCGGAUGUGAAAUAACCGAUCUCAACCUGGGCGAGUCAUUCGAAACUGGCAGUCCAAUGUCUCAUAGAGGGGGGUAGAAUUUCAGGAGAACCAGCGAAAUUCGUAAAGAUCUUGAUAGUCCGCGGUGGAGUAGGCGACUCCCUUCCCAAAAGUUGGAAUUCAGGUUAAUAAGCGUUGGGAAUAACCAGGAGAAUACGUUCUCGUAGUC
RNAcentral lists this ribosomal RNA (612 nucleotides) under Enterobacter hormaechei subsp. xiangfangensis. RNAcentral's name for it is "bacterial SSU rRNA". It matches the Rfam family "Bacterial small subunit ribosomal RNA", at positions 202 to 795 of the family's 1533-position model. The record is from RNAcentral. Lineage: Bacteria; Pseudomonadati; Pseudomonadota; Gammaproteobacteria; Enterobacterales; Enterobacteriaceae.